GCCUAGACUGAGAUCAUCCGUCAAAAACCCCUUUGUUUUCUCCCAUUUCUCUCUCACUGCAUUUUUCCUCUCUCGUAUCUCUUUCUCAAAUCCCUAGUCCCUCCGAUACUCGACUUGAAGAAAAAAAACAAAAAAACAAACAACUCACCGGCACAACCAUCUUCUAUCACUCCCUCGAUACCACCACUGUAGUCUUUUCUCUAUCUCACUCUGUAACGUCGUCCGAUUCUUCUCCAGCCAGCAAAGUCCGUCUUCACCAAUCGACCAACUCCAAGCCCAAUCGCGAAUGAAACUAACUCAUCCCCUGGUGAUUCCAGAGAAUGGGGAAAGAUAUUCAUAAAGAUAUCAUUAUUCGCAACACCACCUUACCAACACCCUCGAUUCGAUGCAAUUCAAUCCCAACUCCUUCAGUUGAUCAACGAUUCGAUGUAAGUGGAAGAAGAGGGAAGAGUUCAGUAGAUCAACGCCAAUAGAAAAUCCUACAUCUACAGAUUAUACACCACCUUCAUUAGACACCUAACGUUUCAAGUUUCUUAAUCAAUGGGUUUUGAUUUCUUAUUAGGAUGUCGAUUUCUUCCUUUGGGUUUUGAUUUAUAAUUAAGAUGCCGAUUUCUCAGAGGGGUUUUGAUUUCUCCCCCAGGGUUAGGUUUUCGGGGUACAUGACUUCAUCAUGCAAUUCGAUGGCACCAAAAAAGGUGAAAUCUGGUGGUGCGAAACAAAAGAAGAAGGUCUAUCGCUGAUACAACCUCCACAUCAAAGAACGUGGGAUUGACAUGGGGGCUUGCACUAGAUGUAUGGAUGAAUGCUAUCAAAGGAAAACUGGUUGUUAUGUUCUCAGAAUUAAAUGGAGAGCCGCUAUUCGAGAAUGGUCCCAAAGUCGUAAACGAGUGUGUGGUAAUAGUUCGUUCUAUAGAAGCACUCAGGUACAAGUCUUGGAGUGAAAAACAAGUCCUCGAUAGGGAUUCCUUGAUUUACAGGGUCAAGUUAUGCAUAUAUGUUAUCUGUUUUUUUGCCCGUAGAUUAGUGUAUUAAACCUUAAAUUUGAACAUUGAUCUGGUUUACAUUUUCAGAAUGAGUUCAUAUGGACACUUCUCUACAGAUGUUAAAGAAGCUUUUAGAUGAAUCAAUUGGUAACUAUACAAUACUAAUAUAGUUCUCCUGGCCACGAUUAAGCGCAAACUCAGUAUUCUAUAUUACCUAAUUGAAACACGAAUUUGAUUGUUAUUUUCAUUAAUGACCACACCCUCAUGAAUUCUAAGUUCAUCGUCUGUCUGCGUUCCAGUAACUCUCAUGCUUGUCUAAAGACCAACCAUUAGUGCUGCACCUUCACGUGAUGUUGUGAUCACUAGUUUCACUCUUGCUUACCAUACAUGAAAAACUUUUAUUUAGUCCAUGCGACCACUGUUUCUAACUAUGAAGGAAUUCAUGAAAUGCUACAAGCGCAGGCUGAUAGAAUUCAAGCUCAGGAAGAGCAAAUAUGCGUGCAGAAUGAGGUUAUCAAAAAGUUGAAAGAAGAUAACGCAAAGGACAUAAGAAACAUGCGGGAUAUGAUGUUACUUUCUCUCAGACUAAACAACAUUACCGCUAAUGGAAUUGAAAGUUGAAUGCAGUCACAUUAAUGUUCUAGUCUUAGUAUUCUUUUUCUUUUCUUUUCUAAUAGUGAUGCUUAUUUAUUUAUUUAGUUAUUGGUAGAGUUCAUUUAUCAGAUUUUUUCUAGUUUGGAUCUUGUAUAAACAACUUAUAUUAAUGGGUAAUUGUUUUUUAUUCAACUUA
This is a long non-coding RNA of Papaver somniferum (opium poppy), 1773 nucleotides long. RefSeq lists it as uncharacterized. The record is from RefSeq and is a predicted model, not a curated record. The transcript has 4 exons. NCBI's taxonomy places the organism in Eukaryota, Viridiplantae, Streptophyta, Magnoliopsida, Ranunculales, Papaveraceae.